GAUGAACGCUAGCUACAGGCUUAACACAUGCAAGUCGAGGGACCGGCGCACGGGUGAGUAACACGUAUCCAACCUGCCCUUUACUCGGGGAUAGCCUUUCGAAAGAAAGAUUAAUACCUGAUGUAAAGGAUGGGGAUGCGUUCCAUUAGUUUGUUGGUGAGGUAACGGCUCACCAAGCCUUCGAUGGAUAGGGGUUCUGAGUGGAAGGUCCACCACAUGUGAACUGAGACACGGUCCAAACUCCUACGGGAGGCAGCAGUGAGGAAUAUUGGUCAAUGGGCGUUAGCCUGAACCAGCCAAGUAGCGGGAAGGAUGAAUGCUUAUGGGUCGUAAACUUCUUUUAUAUAAGAAUAUGUAUUAUAUGAAUAAGGAUCGGCUAACUCCGUGCCAGCAGCCGCGGUAAUUC
RNAcentral lists this ribosomal RNA (406 nucleotides) under uncultured bacterium. RNAcentral's name for it is "partial 16S ribosomal RNA". It matches the Rfam family "Bacterial small subunit ribosomal RNA", at positions 28 to 526 of the family's 1533-position model. The record is from RNAcentral.